CGAUGAAACCGACGCACGAAGCCGACGGGGAAAAGCUUGCCGCAAGGUCAAAAUAAUUGAACUUCACACUUUCCGAAUCCGAUAAUCCAAAAGCCAUAAAUAUCUGACCCUUCACUCCGCCGAAGAGCCGAAGGAAUCGAACCGAAAUGAGCGGUCGAUCACGUCGGUUUCCGUCGUCCUUCUCCGGCUCAGCUUCCGGAUUCAAUUGAAUCACCAUCGUCUUCUUUAACCUCCUUAAUCGGAAGAAUACUGCUACAGAUUCCAUUAUCUUCCUCUUCUGGCCAUUUCUAUCUGUUUCCUUUUCAUACAUACUCGUUGUUGAUGGCUUUGGCGACUAAUAUGAGAAGAAAUGCAUGCCUCGUCACCAAUUGGCUCGUAGCGUCUGGAAAAUUAAAUUUCCUAUCGGUGGGAUUUGAACAUGCAUCUUACUCCAUCAUCAGAAAAACUAAUGGUCUUAGAAUCUUUGGGGAUCAACUGGAGGCUUCAAGAACGUAUGCUACUUCUUGUGCUAAGCUGUCGGAUGAAAUCCAGAAAGAGAAUUCAGACUCUAAUAUGUUGGUUGAUUCAUUUGGAAGGAUGCACACUUACUUAAGGAUAUCAUUGACAGAACGGUGCAACUUGCGAUGUCAGUACUGUAUGCCUGCAGAAGGUGUAGACCUCACUUCCACCCCGAAGCUUCUUACUCGGAAUGAAAUUAUGCGAUUGGCUAAUCUUUUUGUAAGCUCUGGUGUAAAUAAAAUUCGCUUGACUGGUGGGGAGCCUACCAUUAGGAAAGAUAUUGAGGAUAUAUGUUUAGAGCUGUCUAAUUUAAAAGGUUUGAAGACAUUGGCUAUGACCACGAAUGGAAUAGUUCUUGCAAGAAAACUUCCCAAGCUUAAAGAAUGUGGGCUUUCAGCUAUUAAUAUUAGUUUGGAUACAUUGGUGCCAGCAAAGUUUGAAUUCAUGACCCGGCGCAAGGGGCAUGAAAAGGUUAUGGAAUCUAUCAAUGCUGCAGUAGACCUUGGUUACAAUCCUGUUAAAGUGAACUGUGUUAUAAUGCGUGGCUUCAAUGAUGAUGAGAUUUGCAAUUUUGUUGAGUUGACUCGUGAGAAACCAAUUAAUAUUCGAUUCAUUGAGUUUAUGCCCUUUGAUGGAAAUGUUUGGAAUGUUAAGAAACUGGUACCCUACUCAGAAAUUUUGCAAACAGUGACUAAAAACUUCGUGAACCUCACACGACUGGGAGAUCAUCCUACAGAGACAGCAAAAAAUUUCAGGAUAGAUGGGCACCAGGGUACAGUUUCGUUUAUCACAUCAAUGACAGAGCAUUUUUGUGCUGGUUGCAACAGAUUGCGACUUUUAGCAGAUGGAAACUUCAAAGUCUGCUUGUUUGGUCCCUCGGAGGUUAGCUUGAGAGACCCACUUCGUCAAGGUGCUGAUGAUAACGAGCUAAGGGAAAUAAUUCAUGCAGCGGUAAGAAGAAAGAAAGCUUCACAUGCCGGAAUGUUCGAUAUUGCAAAGACUGCAAACAGACCCAUGAUACAUAUUGGUGGCUAGUCUAAGCUUGGUUCCAUGUCCGUCCAACUAGCUUGACUGGAGGACAAACCUGUUGGUGUAUAUGGAAACUGUAAAGAAACCAAAGUCAAAACUGUGGUGACAAUAUGAAGAAGCCUGAGCAGGAAAAACGAAAGAAAAAUCUCAAUUUGGUUUGGUUUCGUUCAGGGAGGGUGAAAACUACUAUCAAACAUGGGGAAAAAAAAAUCAUUUAAGAACUGCAUUCAUCUAAUGUCGUUUCGCAUUCUUCAUGACUGCCACCGGUGCCAGAGAGAUAGGAGAGAGCUUCAAUAGUCCGAGACCGGACCCGUCGAGAACUGAGAGAUCGGUUUGUUUGUAUUAUUGGAGAAUAGUUGAGAAGAUUUUGAAAGAAUUAGAUAGAGGAGAAUCUGCACAAAGAUGAGGGUUACUUUGAUUUGAUGCCUAAGCUUUCAUCAACAGCUGUUGCGAAUAGACGGUGGAGUCUUGGAAGUUUCAUAGGUUGUAGUUUUAGUGUUAUGCAUGUUCAAUUUCAUUCUACAUUAAAAGCAAUUGAAUUUACACUACUAGCAGACAAUAUAUAUAUAGAAAACCACUAUUUUUGCUAAAA
Molecule: RNA transcript, 2119 nt
Organism: Cucumis melo (muskmelon)
Lineage: Eukaryota; Viridiplantae; Streptophyta; Magnoliopsida; Cucurbitales; Cucurbitaceae
Gene name: GTP 3',8-cyclase, mitochondrial
Exons: 9
Source: RefSeq, a predicted model, not a curated record